Long non-coding RNA from Pecten maximus, 1147 nucleotides. RefSeq lists it as uncharacterized. The transcript has 2 exons. NCBI's taxonomy places the organism in Eukaryota, Metazoa, Mollusca, Bivalvia, Pectinida, Pectinidae. The record is from RefSeq and is a predicted model, not a curated record.
UAACUAUACAUUGUAUAACUGUAUAUUGUAUAACUACACAUUGUAUAACUAUAACUACACAUUGUAACGCUAUAACUAUACACUGACUAUAAAACAAUACAUAUAGUACCACUAUACAUUGUUCCACUAUACCACUAUACACUGUAUCACUAUAGUUAUACAUGGUACAACAAUACAUUGUACCACUACACUUCACACUCUACACUGUCUAGUCCAAGUGAUAUAUGAUUAUCUAUCUGUUUGAUUACUUAUUCGGAGUCAGAAUCAUUCAGACUAACUACAUGUAUACACAUACACACAUAUACAUAUAUAGUUAUUUAUUAAUGCGAUGUACCAAACCAGAUAUGUUGUAUUACUAUAAAUACAUACAUGAUCUUUUUGUUGUAUACAUGUUUAGAGCACUAGAUUGUCAAACUAAAAAAUAUAUCUUAUUAAUGACUGCACUAAAUUACCUGAGGUGAUAAAACAUGAUACACAUCAUCUUACAAACAUGUCCAUGUCACUUUGAAUUUAUUUACCUUAUUGAAUGAUUUCUUAUAACACUGAUAUUUAUCACAUAAUUUAUAUUCAAUAUUCACAUGAAUUAAGCAAAAAGUUUAAAAAUUAACACUAUGUCUUUAUUUCAUGUCCUAGCAGGCUUUUAUGUGACGAGAAUUGUAUAUAAAUUCACAGAUGAUUCAAUUUUAACUAAAUAUUGUGUUCUACUGUCUCAUAGCGAAUACAACAUAUACACAAGUGCAAAAACAAUUUUAGCUACUGGUACACAUAGCUACAGGUAAUUACAUCUCUACUUGUAGUACACAUUGCUACAGGUAAUUACAUCUCUACCUGUAGUACACAUAGCUACAGGUAAUUACAUCUCUACAUAAUAAUUAUAUAGGGACACAAAAUUACAUCACUACACAUAGUACACAAAAUGCAAUGGAAUAAGGCCUCCUAUCAAUAUUACAUACCGUAUUUCCUCUACCUACACACAUACUCUUAUAUAAUUAUAGACAUGCAGCAUUAAGAUGACAGUAAACAACCAACAGAGAAAUUCAUUUGACUUUGAAGUAUGAGUGUUUAGCUGGAAACUAAAGAUUGUUGAAACUUUAUCUCUAGAUACCAAGGCAAAUACUAAUAUACUGGAAUAUUAAUGCAGAAGCAU